Molecule: ribosomal RNA, 1556 nt
Filed under: Escherichia coli Nissle 1917
Lineage: Bacteria; Pseudomonadati; Pseudomonadota; Gammaproteobacteria; Enterobacterales; Enterobacteriaceae
Description: bacterial SSU rRNA
Rfam family: Bacterial small subunit ribosomal RNA
Source: RNAcentral
UUAAAUUGAAGAGUUUGAUCAUGGCUCAGAUUGAACGCUGGCGGCAGGCCUAACACAUGCAAGUCGAACGGUAACAGAAAGCAGCUUGCUGCUUUGCUGACGAGUGGCGGACGGGUGAGUAAUGUCUGGGAAACUGCCUGAUGGAGGGGGAUAACUACUGGAAACGGUAGCUAAUACCGCAUAACGUCGCAAGACCAAAGAGGGGGACCUUCAGGCCUCUUGCCAUCGGAUGUGCCCAGAUGGGAUUAGCUAGUAGGUGGGGUAAAGGCUCACCUAGGCGACGAUCCCUAGCUGGUCUGAGAGGAUGACCAGCCACACUGGAACUGAGACACGGUCCAGACUCCUACGGGAGGCAGCAGUGGGGAAUAUUGCACAAUGGGCGCAAGCCUGAUGCAGCCAUGCCGCGUGUAUGAAGAAGGCCUUCGGGUUGUAAAGUACUUUCAGCGGGGAGGAAGGGAGUAAAGUUAAUACCUUUGCUCAUUGACGUUACCCGCAGAAGAAGCACCGGCUAACUCCGUGCCAGCAGCCGCGGUAAUACGGAGGGUGCAAGCGUUAAUCGGAAUUACUGGGCGUAAAGCGCACGCAGGCGGUUUGUUAAGUCAGAUGUGAAAUCCCCGGGCUCAACCUGGGAACUGCAUCUGAUACUGGCAAGCUUGAGUCUCGUAGAGGGGGGUAGAAUUCCAGGUGUAGCGGUGAAAUGCGUAGAGAUCUGGAGGAAUACCGGUGGCGAAGGCGGCCCCCUGGACGAAGACUGACGCUCAGGUGCGAAAGCGUGGGGAGCAAACAGGAUUAGAUACCCUGGUAGUCCACGCCGUAAACGAUGUCGACUUGGAGGUUGUGCCCUUGAGGCGUGGCUUCCGGAGCUAACGCGUUAAGUCGACCGCCUGGGGAGUACGGCCGCAAGGUUAAAACUCAAAUGAAUUGACGGGGGCCCGCACAAGCGGUGGAGCAUGUGGUUUAAUUCGAUGCAACGCGAAGAACCUUACCUGGUCUUGACAUCCACGGAAGUUUUCAGAGAUGAGAAUGUGCCUUCGGGAACCGUGAGACAGGUGCUGCAUGGCUGUCGUCAGCUCGUGUUGUGAAAUGUUGGGUUAAGUCCCGCAACGAGCGCAACCCUUAUCCUUUGUUGCCAGCGGUCCGGCCGGGAACUCAAAGGAGACUGCCAGUGAUAAACUGGAGGAAGGUGGGGAUGACGUCAAGUCAUCAUGGCCCUUACGACCAGGGCUACACACGUGCUACAAUGGCGCAUACAAAGAGAAGCGACCUCGCGAGAGCAAGCGGACCUCAUAAAGUGCGUCGUAGUCCGGAUUGGAGUCUGCAACUCGACUCCAUGAAGUCGGAAUCGCUAGUAAUCGUGGAUCAGAAUGCCACGGUGAAUACGUUCCCGGGCCUUGUACACACCGCCCGUCACACCAUGGGAGUGGGUUGCAAAAGAAGUAGGUAGCUUAACCUUCGGGAGGGCGCUUACCACUUUGUGAUUCAUGACUGGGGUGAAGUCGUAACAAGGUAACCGUAGGGGAACCUGCGGUUGGAUCACCUCCUUACCUUAAAGAAGC